GACGAACGCUGGCGGCGCGCCUAACACAUGCAAGUCGAACGAGCGAGAGAGAGCUUGCUUUCUCGAGCGAGUGGCGAACGGGUGAGUAACGCGUGAGGAACCUGCCUCAAAGAGGGGGACAACAGUUGGAAACGACUGCUAAUACCGCAUAAGCCCACAGCUCGGCAUCGAGCAGAGGGAAAAGGAGUGAUCCGCUUUGAGAUGGCCUCGCGUCCGAUUAGCUGGUUGGUGAGGUAACGGCUCACCAAGGCGACGAUCCGUAGCUGGUUUGAGAGGACGACCAGCCACACUGGGACUGAGACACGGCCCAG
This 311-nucleotide ribosomal RNA is filed under the name uncultured bacterium. Its description in RNAcentral is "bacterial SSU rRNA". It matches the Rfam family "Bacterial small subunit ribosomal RNA", at positions 28 to 334 of the family's 1533-position model. The record is from RNAcentral.